This 69-nucleotide transfer RNA is filed under the name Tuxedo drakei. RNAcentral describes it as "tRNA-Ser". It matches the Rfam family "tRNA". From Rfam's summary of the family: Transfer RNA (tRNA) molecules are approximately 80 nucleotides in length. Their secondary structure includes four short double-helical elements and three loops (D, anti-codon, and T loops). The record is from RNAcentral. Lineage: Eukaryota; Metazoa; Arthropoda; Insecta; Hemiptera; Miridae.
AGUUAAAAAGCUUCAUAAAAGCAUAUAUUUUGAAAGUAUAAGAGAAAGGUUAAAUUCCUUUAUUAACUU